Molecule: transfer RNA, 73 nt
Filed under: Candidatus Levyibacteriota bacterium
Lineage: Bacteria; Candidatus Levyibacteriota
Description: Candidatus Levybacteria bacterium tRNA-Lys
Rfam family: tRNA
About the family: Transfer RNA (tRNA) molecules are approximately 80 nucleotides in length. Their secondary structure includes four short double-helical elements and three loops (D, anti-codon, and T loops). Further hydrogen bonds mediate the characteristic L-shaped molecular structure. tRNAs have two regions of fundamental functional importance: the anti-codon, which is responsible for specific mRNA codon recognition, and the 3' end, to which the tRNAs corresponding amino acid is attached (by aminoacyl-tRNA synthetases). tRNAs cope with the degeneracy of the genetic code in two manners: having more than one tRNA (with a specific anti-codon) for a particular amino acid; and 'wobble' base-pairing, i.e. permitting non-standard base-pairing at the 3rd anti-codon position.
Source: RNAcentral
GGGCCGCUAGCUCAAUUGGCAGAGCAAUUCCCUCUUAAGGAAUAGGUUCUCGGUCCGACUCCGAGGCGGCUCA